UACGGAGGAUUCGAGCGUUAUCCGGAUUUAUUGGGUUUAAAGGGAGCGUAGGCGGGUUGUUAAGUCAGUUGUGAAAGUUUGCGGCUCAACCGUAAAAUUGCAGUUGAUACUGGCAUCCUUGAGUACAGUAGAGGUAGGCGGAAUUCGUGGUGUAGCGGUGAAAUGCUUAGAUAUCACGAAGAGCUCCGAUUGCGAAGGCAGCCUGCUGGACUGUAACUGACGCUGAUGCUCGAAAGUGUGGGUAUCAAACAGG
RNAcentral lists this ribosomal RNA (253 nucleotides) under uncultured bacterium. RNAcentral's name for it is "partial 16S ribosomal RNA". It matches the Rfam family "Bacterial small subunit ribosomal RNA", at positions 524 to 776 of the family's 1533-position model. The record is from RNAcentral.